CAUCCUGCUUCUACCCUACAGUACCCUAAAGGAUACAGCUUUUUUCCUCUAAUGUUUUAUUUUUAAAAGUUUUAGACAUACAUAAAGUUGAUGGAGUACUGCAAUGAAUGAAUGCCCAUAUAUCCUGUACCUAGAUUGAACAGCUGACAACUGUCAAGAACUGUCCCCUGCCAUUUCACCUGAGCUGACCUGAUCUCCCCAGGGGAAUGAGCCUCGUCUUGCAAGUCCCCUUCUUUGGGUCCCUGGCAGCGCUGCUGCAGGAUACAAGGAACAGGAUGCUAUGACGAGAUAUGCAUUGAGAAGCUUCAGUCCUGCCUCCAUCCUUAUCUUCUUCUCCCUGGACCAAAAGUGAUAAUUGUCAUUUGAUCCUUAUUUAUUUUUAGAAAUAAAACUC
This 394-nucleotide long non-coding RNA is filed under the name Homo sapiens (human). Its description in RNAcentral is "HSALNT0345906". Lineage: Eukaryota; Metazoa; Chordata; Mammalia; Primates; Hominidae. The record is from RNAcentral.